Long non-coding RNA from Gorilla gorilla gorilla (western lowland gorilla), 3918 nucleotides. RefSeq lists it as uncharacterized. NCBI's taxonomy places the organism in Eukaryota, Metazoa, Chordata, Mammalia, Primates, Hominidae. The transcript has 4 exons. The record is from RefSeq and is a predicted model, not a curated record.
ACAAAGAUAGGGUGGCCAACCGUACUGAUUUGUUUGCCCAGGACUGUCCCAGUUUUAGUAUUGAAAGUCCCACCUUCCAGGAAACCCCGGUCCCGAGCAAACCAGGCCGGUUGGUCGCCCUACUUGCCAAUCUCGCCUGUUGACAGCAAAGCCAGAGACAGGAGAGCCACACCCCCGCGCUUUGCUCCAGCAACAGGGAACUGCCUGUUUCCCUGCUGAGUUUAACCUCCUUCCCUUUACCCACAGGGCCGCCCUUCCCCUUCCCAGCCCCCUAACUUACCUGUCGCCCUGUCAUCCUCCAGGCAUCACUCCCCGUCCAAGGCCUUCCGUCACUCCUCUGGCGCAGGUCUUCAUUCUGCAUCAUCGUAGUCGAUUUUAUCUUGGGCACCAUAAAAUUCUACUUCUUCCCGCAGUAGCAGGCUGAUGUCACCCACAGAACAUAAUGGAUUCUAGGAACAGGCCCACAAGAGGAAAAGUGGGCAAGUACAAAUAUAGGAUGUUUGUUCUGAGAAAACUAAAAAUACUUUGUUUAAAUUGGAUCACAUUUUACCAGUUAAGUGAACCUUACCAGAUGACAAUAUUGAUAUGUGGGAUGACACAAGGAAGAUACAACAACCUAAGAAUGGAUAGCUUGUGCUAGAAAAUCAAUUACAAAAUCUUAUAUGGCUUUUCCUCCCUGCCAGACGUCAUUCCGGCAUGUUGCGUAUAUUAAUUCAUGUAAUGCCACCACAAUCCAUUAUUAACUGUAUUUUACAGAUGAAAAAUCUGGUGCUGUGAGGAGCUUGCCCAGUGGCACUCAUGCAGCUGGCAAUGGCCAGAGCCAGGAUUGGUGCCAAACACUUGACUCCAGAAUCCCUGCUCUUGACCACUAUUCUACCCACUCCAUACCUAAAUCCCAGUUCGUUAUGUAAAAGAGUUGUGACAUAGUAUGUUUUCUCUCAUAAUACUUUAAAGUUAAAUCAAAUUCAUAUUGUCACCCUAAUUAGUACCUUUUUUCACCUCAAAUCAGACUCAGUUAAGAUAAUCUUUGUAUUACAAAUAGCAUUUCAGUCUCAACUACCAUAUCACAUGUAAUCACUAUCAUAUUAGCUGUUAAGCAGCUUUGAUUGAUGCCUUUUCCCUGUAUUUUGGUGUAAAAUACACCUGAGGUAUUAAAAAGGUUUGACUUUUGUGUUCAGAUGCAUAGCAUUGGUUAUAAAACACAAAAAUAAUGAUGACUCAUUUAAGACAAUCACUGAAGCCCAUCAUCAUUGUUGCAGGGACAAUUUAACGUUACCAUCUUCUUCAUGAGCUAUGUCUAAAAUGACACAAACCCCACAAAUUUAAUUUAGUGUUCUCAUUCGAGAAGAUAAGUUGAAAAAUUAAAACAAUAAUUAUCAUCUGAUCCUGCAAUCCUAAUCCCACUUCUGUGUAUAUAUCCCAAAGAACUGAAAGCAGAGUCCUCAAAGAGAUUUGCACACCUGUGUUCACAGCAGCAUUAUCUACAACAGCCAAGAAGUGGAAGCAACACAAAUGUCUACCAACAGAUCAAUGGAUAAACAAAAAAAUGUGAUAUAGACACAAAAUGGAGUAUUAUUCAGCCCUGAAAAGGAAGAAAACCCUGUCAUGUGCUGCAACAUGGAUGAACCUUGAGGACCUUGUGCUAAAUACCAUAUGACUCCAUUUAUAUGAGGUAUCUAAAGUAGUAAAAUUCACAGAAACAGAAAGAAUAAUGGUGGUUGCCAGGCCUUGGGAGGAGAAGGAAAUGGGGAAGGAGUUGUUGGUAAAUGGGUUACAGUUUCAGUUUUACAAGAUGAAAAGCUCUGGAGAUCUGUUGAAUAUACUUAACACUAGUAAACUGCUUUAAAAAAUCAAGAUGGUAAAAUGUAUAUUUUAUGUUUUUACCAUAAUUAAAAAUAAUAUAAUUUUUUAAAUUAAUGACUUCUAGUUUUACCUCAAUGAUAAAAAGUGUCUAGUAAAGUUUGAGGCCUUGAAUGUAGGUGUCAGAAUGUGAAAAAUAUGAACCUGUGACAUACAAAACUUACCAAAAAAGUCUUAGAGUUUGGGAUGGUGGAUGGUUGAUUAUUUAAAAUAUAACUUAAUGAUUAUGAUUAUAUGAUAUAUGUCAUAAUUUGUGAAUGUUAGUCUACCCAUAAAAUGAAAGUUUGUUGUCUUCCAAAUGAUGCUAAAAUAGAUUACUAGUCCUGAAAAUGUGGUUUCUUAUGGGUUCCUCUAGUCAUUUCAAUAGGAUAAAUGUGCUGAUAACACCCCAUUAAUUAAAGUCAAUGGCUAUCCCAUAAGCACCAAUGCCACAGUAAGCAACCAAAGCCAUACCAUGCAUAUAUAUCCAGGCCAAAUGUCUCACUCAGGCCAGAAAGAGACCAGCUAAGAAGUCAAGGAUGGCUGGGAUGGGGUAACAAGUGGGGAGAAGGAAUACAAUAAAAUUAGGAGGUGGGUUGAGGUCAUGCUAGAUAGGACCUGGAAUUUUAUGUUGAAUAUUUGAACUAUUUUAUAGAAACUAAGGAAAGAAUAAAGUUUUUUUAUUAAGGAAAGGACAUAAUCAUAUCUGUGUAUAAGAUGAAUAACUGGUAGUAUGAUGGGAAAUGGACUCUGGUGGAGAAGAGCUAAGAGCAGGGAGAGCUGUGAUGAGGCUACUUCAACAGCCUGGACAAGACAAAAUGGAAGGAUGAAAAUGGACUAAACAUUUAGUGCUCGGACAACUGGAUAGCCACAUGCAGAAGAAUAGAUUUGAACCUCUACCUCACACCAUAUACAAAUCAUUAAUUCUAAAUGAAUCAGACCUAAAUAUAAGAGCUGAAACUAUAAAACUCUUAGAGGAAAACAGAGUUGUAAGUCUCCUGACCCAGGAUUAGAAACAGUUUCUUAGAUAUGCACAUAAAGCACAAGUAACCAAAGGAAAAGAUAUACAAACUGUUUUUCAACACAACUAAAAACUUUUAUGCAUCCAAGGACACUAUCAAGAAAGUGAAAAGAUUCACAAAAUGGGAGAAAAUAUUUACAAAUCAUAUAUUUGAUAAGGGUCUACUAUCCAGAAUAUAUAAAGAAUCCUUACAACUCAACAAUAAAAUUUAAAAUCAUCAAAUUUUUAAAUGGAAAAAAACUUGAACAUACAUUUUCUCAAGGAAGAUAUGCAAAUGAUCAAUAUGCCUGAAAAGAUGCUUAAUGUCAUUUAUCAUUAGGGAAAUGCAAAUCAAAACUAUAACAAGAUACUACUUCACACACACUGGGAUGGCUAUAAUCAAAGACAAUAACAAAUGUCGGUGAGGAUGUGGAGAAAUUGAACCCUCAUGCAUUGCUGGUAGGCAUAUAAAGUAGUGCAGCUGCUUUGGGAACCAUUUUGAAGAUUUCUCAAAAAGUUAGAUAAAUACAGUUAGCACAUGUCCCAGGAAUUCCAGUCCUAAGUGGGUACCCAAGAGAAAUGAGAACAUGCAUGCAUACAGAAACUUUGUACAUAGCCAAAAAGUGGAAAUCCAGUUGUGUACAAGCUAAUGAGUGGAUAAAGAAAAUGAAGUAUAUUUAUAUAGUAGACUAGUGUUCAGCACAAAAAGAAAUGAGGUGCUGACACAUGCUGCAAUAUAGGUGAACCUCGAAAACAGUAUGCUAAGUAAAAGAAGUCAGUCACAAAAGGCCACAUGUUGUAUCGUUCCAUUUAUAUGAAAUUUCCAGAAUAGUACUCCAUAGAGACAGAAAGCAGACGAGUGAUUAUCAGGGGCCGGGGAAAUGGGAAGUGACUAAAGGUAGGGAGGGGUGGCUCUGGGGUGAUGAAAAUUCUCUACAAUUAAUUCGUGGUGAAAGCUGCAGAAUUCUGAAUAUGUUAAAAACUACCAGACUGUACAUUUUAGAUGGGUGAUUUUGUGGUAUAUUAAUUGUAUAUCAAAUCUGUUUGUUUGUUUUAAUAAAUGACACAUUGGGAGAGUC